RNAcentral lists this transfer RNA (75 nucleotides) under Cavia porcellus (domestic guinea pig). It matches the Rfam family "tRNA". Rfam says of the family: Transfer RNA (tRNA) molecules are approximately 80 nucleotides in length. Their secondary structure includes four short double-helical elements and three loops (D, anti-codon, and T loops). Lineage: Eukaryota; Metazoa; Chordata; Mammalia; Rodentia; Caviidae. The record is from Rfam by way of RNAcentral.
GGAGAUAUAACUUAGUGGCAUAAAAGCAUCUGCCUGGCAAGCGCAAGGUUGUAAGUUUGAUUCCUGGUAGCUCCA